Long non-coding RNA from Anolis carolinensis (green anole), 386 nucleotides. RefSeq lists it as uncharacterized. Lineage: Eukaryota; Metazoa; Chordata; Lepidosauria; Squamata; Anolidae. The record is from RefSeq and is a predicted model, not a curated record. The transcript has 3 exons.
GACUUCUUUCUGUGUGAAGAUUGAGAGACAGAAGCCCAACUUGAAGGCAAGAAGCUGAAGCAAAGAUAUAACAAGGAAGAAUCUCUUAAGUCCUUUGGGGCAAUUUAUGGUCAACUGUAGUCAAUGUCCACUGGAGUGGUGUUCUCUCAGGCAGAAACAUAAAACAGAAGAAGAAGAACAAGAAAAAUACUUUAAAAUUCUUAUCUAAAAUGCACUUAGCAUCCUGCUAAAAGUACUCACAAAGUUGGUCCUUUCAGGAAAUGGAAAAUCUAGAAAGCCUGUGAAGAAGAUAGUAAACUCAAGACCCAAUUAGUAGUAUAAUAAAUGUAAACAAGCAAGCAACAUUAAAGAAAGAUACAUUAUUGAUAAUAAAAUCCGAUGUCUAU